CGCCUUGCGCUAACAGCUGAGCCUAAGUCGGAUUAGCUAGUUGGUAGGGCAAAGGCCUACCAAGGCGACGAUCUGUAGCGGGUCUGAGAGGAUGAUCCGCCACACUGGGACUGAGACACGGCCCAGACUCCUACGGGAGGCAGCAGUGGGGAAUAUUGGACAAUGGGGGGAACCCUGAUCCAGCCAUGCCGCGUGUGUGAAGAAGGCCUUUUGGUUGUAAAGCACUUUAAGCGAGGAGGAGGCUACCUGGAUUAAUACUUUAGGAUAGUGGACGUUACUCGCAGAAUAAGCACCGGCUAACUCUGUGCCAGCAGCCGCGGUAAUACAGAGGGUGCGAGCGUUAAUCGGAUUUACUGGGCGUAAAGCGUGCGUAGGCGGCCAAUUAAGUCAAAUGUGAAAUCCCCGAGCUUAACUUGGGAAUUGCAUUCGAUACUGGUUGGCUAGAGUAUGGGAGAGGAUGGUAGAAUUCCAGGUGUAGCGGUGAAAUGCGUAGAGAUCUGGAGGAAUACCGAUGGCGAAGGCAGCCAUCUGGCCUAAUACUGACGCUGAGGUACGAAAGCAUGGGGAGCAAACAGGAUUAGAUACCCUGGUAGUCCAUGCCGUAAACGAUGUCUACUAGCCGUUGGGGCCNUUGAGGCUUUUAGUGGCGCAGCUUAACGCGAUAAAGUAGACCGCCUGGGGGAGUACGGGUCGCAAAGACUAAAAACUCAAAAUGAAUUUGACGGGGGGCCCGCACAAAGCGGUGGGAGCAUGUGGGUUUA
RNAcentral lists this ribosomal RNA (761 nucleotides) under Acinetobacter sp. RNAcentral describes it as "bacterial SSU rRNA". It matches the Rfam family "Bacterial small subunit ribosomal RNA", at positions 209 to 949 of the family's 1533-position model. Lineage: Bacteria; Pseudomonadati; Pseudomonadota; Gammaproteobacteria; Moraxellales; Moraxellaceae. The record is from RNAcentral.